Myotis lucifugus (little brown bat) is the source of this 299-nucleotide non-coding RNA. NCBI's taxonomy places the organism in Eukaryota, Metazoa, Chordata, Mammalia, Chiroptera, Vespertilionidae. The record is from Rfam.
AGACACUGGGUGAACUGACACCUAUUACCUCAUAGGUAACCAGGUUCCAUUCUUUCUACUAACUUGAUUGGUGGGGUGGGUGUUUCUUUUCUUCCUGUCCAUACCAUAGGUGUCUUAUUUGAUAUAGUUCACUUAUUCAAUAAGGAUUACCUUUCUUCACACGAAAGGACCUUCUUUGGACAAGAGUAUUAUGAGUUAAGACUUUAUCCUACUGAAACAUCCAAACAAGGUCUCACAGCUCCACAGCUGUAAAAUCUAUAAUAAUUAGGCAAAAUCAUUUUUUUGUCAGGUCACUAAAA